ACCUGAAACCGUGUGCUUACAAGUAGUCAGAGCCCCUUGAGGGUGAUGGCGUGCCUUUUGUAGAAUGAACCGGCGAGUUACUUUAUCAUGCGAGGUUAAGUGGAAGACAUGGAGCCGAAGCGAAAGCGAGUCUUAAUAGGGCGAAAUAGUAUGAUGGAGUAGACCCGAAACCAAGUGAUCUACCCAUGGCCAGGUUGAAGUUUAGGUAACACUGAAUGGAGGACCGAACCAGGACACGUUGAAAAGUGUUUGGAUGAGCUGUGGGUAGCGGAGAAAUUCCAAUCGAACUUGGAAAUAGCUGGUUCUCUCCGAAAUAGCUUUAGGGCUAGCCUCGUUGUGAGUUUACUGGAGGUAGAGCACUGUUUGGACUAGGGGCCCAUCCCGGGUUACCGAAUUCAGACAAACUCCGAAUGCCAGAUAAAUAUCAACGGGAGUCAGACUGCGGGUGAUAAGGUUCGUAGUCGAAAGGGAAACAGCCCAGACCGCCAGCUAAGGUCCCAAAUUGUAUGUUAAGUGGAAAAGGAUGUGAUGAUGCACAGACAACCAGGAUGUUGGCUUAGAAGCAGCCACCAUUUAAAGAGUGCGUAAUAGCUCACUGGUCGAGUGACAUCGCGCCGAAAAUGUACCGGGGCUAAACAUACAACCGAAGCUGCGGAUAUAACUAAUGUUAUAUGGUAGGAGAGCGUUCUAACAUCAUAGAAGCCGAACUGGAAGGUGAGGUGGAGAGGUUAGAAGUGAGAAUGCCGGUGUGAGUAGCGAAAGAUAGGUGAGAAUCCUAUCCACCGAAAGACUAAGGUUUCCAGAGGAAGGCUCGUCCGCUCUGGGUAAGUCGGGACCUAAGGUGAAGCCGAUAGGUGAAGCCGAUGGACAACAGGUAGAAAUUCCUGUACCACCGAAUAUCGAUUGAGAGAAGUGGGGACAGAGGAGGCUAAUUGAUCGCCCUGAUGGAAUAGGGCGUCUAAGCACAAAGACUGACAAGUAGGCAAAUCCGCUUGUUGUAAAGGUUGAAGUGUUAAGGGGAGCGAAAUAUAGUAGCGAAGUCAAUGAAGCCAAACUCUCAAGAAAAGCCGCUAUCGAGAUAAGAGGUGCCCGUACCGCAAACCGACACAGGUAGUUGGGAAGAGAAUUCUAAGGUGAGCGAGAGAACCAUCGUUAAGGAACUCGGCAAAAUGACCCCGUAACUUCGGGAGAAGGGGUGCCUACGAGAGUAGGCCGCAGUGAAUAGGCCCAAGCGACUGUUUAUCAAAAACACAGGUCUCUGCAAAACCGAAAGGUGAAGUAUAGGGGCUGACGCCUGCCCGGUGCUGGAAGGUUAAGAGGAGUGCUUAGCGCAAGCGAAGGUAUGAAUUGAAGCCCCAGUAAACGGCGGCCGUAACUAUAACGGUCCUAAGGUAGCGAAAUUCCUUGUCGGGUAAGUUCCGACCCGCACGAAAGGCGUAAUGAUUUGGGCACUGUCUCAACGAGAGACUCGGUGAAAUUUUAGUACCUGUGAAGAUGCAGGUUACCCGCGACAGGACGGAAAGACCCCAUGGAGCUUUACUGUAGUUUGAUAUUGAGUACCUGUAAGUCAUGUACAGGAUAGGUAGGAGCCAUUGAAAUAGGGACGCUAGUUUCUAUUGAGGCGUUGUUGGGAUACUACCCUUGACUUAUGGUUACUCUAACCCGCUGGCAUAAUCGGCCAGGGAGACAGUGUCUGACGGACAGUUUGACUGGGGCGGUCGCCUCCUAAAGAGUAACGGAGGCGCUCAAAGGUUGGCUCAGAUUGGUUGGAAAUCAAUCGUAGAGUGUAAAGGUAAAAGCCAGCUUGACUGCGAGAGCUACAACUCGAGCAGGUAGGAAACUAGGACUUAGUGAUCCGGUGGUACCGCAUGGAAGGGCCAUCGCUCAACGGAUAAAAGCUACCCUGGGGAUAACAGGCUUAUC
RNAcentral lists this ribosomal RNA (1923 nucleotides) under human oral metagenome. RNAcentral's name for it is "bacterial LSU rRNA". It matches the Rfam family "Bacterial large subunit ribosomal RNA", at positions 548 to 2487 of the family's 2925-position model. The record is from RNAcentral.